RNAcentral lists this non-coding RNA (107 nucleotides) under Thermodesulfovibrio sp. RNAcentral describes it as "TPP sequence". It matches the Rfam family "TPP riboswitch aptamer (THI element)". Rfam says of the family: Vitamin B(1) in its active form thiamin pyrophosphate (TPP) is an essential coenzyme that is synthesised by coupling of pyrimidine and thiazole moieties in bacteria. The previously detected thiamin-regulatory element, thi box was extended, resulting in a new, highly conserved RNA secondary structure, the THI element, which is widely distributed in eubacteria and also occurs in some archaea. The record is from RNAcentral. Lineage: Bacteria; Pseudomonadati; Nitrospirota; Thermodesulfovibrionia; Thermodesulfovibrionales; Thermodesulfovibrionaceae.
ACUUAUCCUUGGGGGAGGCUGAAAGGCCUGAGAGUCCCGAUGAAGUCGGGAGACCCAUAGAACCUGAUACGGAUAAUGCCGGCGUAGGGAAGGGAAAGUAAACCGUA